RNAcentral lists this ribosomal RNA (787 nucleotides) under uncultured microeukaryote. RNAcentral's name for it is "SSU rRNA". It matches the Rfam family "Eukaryotic small subunit ribosomal RNA", at positions 154 to 957 of the family's 1831-position model. The record is from RNAcentral.
AAUUCUAGAGCUAAUACAUGCUGGUUAGCCUGACUUUUGAGGAAGGGCUGUAUUUAUUAGAUAACAAACCAAUAUUCCCCGUGUCUAUUGUGAUGACUCAUAAUAACUGAUCGAAUCGCAUGGGCCUUGCCCGCGAUACAUCAUUCAAGUUUCUGCCCCAUCAGCUUUCGAUGGUAGUGUAUUGGACUACCAUGGCUUUCACGGGUAACGGAGGAUUAGGGUUCGAUUCCGGAGAGGGAGCCUGAGAAACGGCUACCACAUCUAAGGAAGGCAGCAGGCGCGUAAAUUACCCAAUCCUGAUUCAGGGAGGUAGUGACAAGAAAUAACGGACCGAGGCUUUUGUCUCGGGAUUGCAAUGAGUAGAAUUUAAACCCCUUUACGAGGAUCAAUUGGAGGGCAAGUCUGGUGCCAGCAGCCGCGGUAAUUCCAGCUCCAAUAGCGUAUAUUAAAGUUGUUGCAGUUAAAAAGCUCGUAGUUGGAUUUCUGAGGGGGUGCCAAUGUCCGCAUGUUGCGUGUGCAGCGGGGCCCCCUCAUCCUUCUGUUAACGUUUCUGAUAUUCAUUUAUUGGUCUCGGGCUCAGAUAUUUUACCUUGAGAAAAUUAGAGUGUUCCAGGCAGGCUUGCGCCGGAAUACAUUAGCAUGGAAUAAUAGAAUAGGACUUUAGUCUCCUUUGUUGGUUUGAGGGACUGAAGUAAUGAUUAAUAGGGAUAGUUGGGGGCAUUAGUAUUUAAUUGUCAGAGGUGAAAUUCUCGGAUUUGUUAAAGACUAACUUAUGCGAAAGCAUUUG